UGGGCUAUGUCUGGGGAACUGCUAUCUGCUGCUGGGAAUGACCAACACAGGCCCUUGUGACAUCAGCUAUGAUUAAGCAGGGUCCAGACAGCCAGAGAUUGGAAUUUGGAUCCCCGUCUACUGAGUGAAAAAAAUCAGUAGUCACCAUAAAGAGUUUGCUUGUAGAGGCUGGAGAGGGAGUUUCAGAACCUUUGAUAUGACCACCAGAGGAAGGUCCUACAACUAUACAAGACUUGGCAAAAGAGCCCCAUGCUGCUGAUAGAUUUGUCUCAUGGCAAGUUCUCAAACUUUCCUCACAUUGAAGAAAUGCCAUCAGGUGGGUGGCAGCUGGUGGUAACCUGUGUAAGGGGAAAGCAGAAAAGCUGCAGCAGGUAUCACGGAACAGAGAGCCUGGACAAGCACAGCAGUGGGGCAGAUGGACCUCACUUAGCUUUUACAGGCACGGGGACAGGACUGCCAAUAGGGUGGACAUGGCAGUAACUACCUGAGGCUACAAUCAGCAGCCGCUGUUUGGACAGUUGUCACAACAAGUUUUGUGGCAAUAAAUGCAAUGAGUUGGUCAGGCAGCACUUUACUGAGGUAGCAGUCUCCAGAGGAGUCUGGACUGUAAUUUUUGUAAAUGGAGACUUUAAACCAAAAGCUAUAUGCAGAUGCAGUAAGCACUGUUCACACAAUGUAACAAGCGCAUACCUCACUUACACCAAUGAUUAAAUAUGAUUGCAUUAAUCCCUAUCUAAUGGUUUCCUUAUAACAAACUAUUAAGAUACUACUAUCAGAUUAAAACAUA
Pseudopipra pipra is the source of this 787-nucleotide long non-coding RNA. RefSeq lists it as uncharacterized. The record is from RefSeq and is a predicted model, not a curated record. The transcript is spliced from 3 exons. NCBI's taxonomy places the organism in Eukaryota, Metazoa, Chordata, Aves, Passeriformes, Pipridae.